CAACCCCUGGGCGAGAGCAGUGGACAGGGAGAUACACACCCAGAGCUACAUAUGAAAAUUUCUUCUAUACUGUCUGCCCUGACCAGUAUGUCUAUAAUGUCUUAUCUGAAGCUUGGGGGCCAAAUAUGUUUCAGAAUGUGGACUUUUUAAGAUGUGAAAAGUAACCCAGGUUCCCAAACAUAAUUAUUGGAUGAAUGAAUGAACAAGAAGAUGACUAUGGAGGAUACUUGGGAUCUGGCU
Molecule: long non-coding RNA, 240 nt
Organism: Homo sapiens (human)
Lineage: Eukaryota; Metazoa; Chordata; Mammalia; Primates; Hominidae
Exons: 3
Source: RefSeq, a predicted model, not a curated record